CAAACGAAAGCCAUCUUGACCAGGAAGCUCUGUCUCCCUCAUUCCUCCGCAGACCUCAUUCAGUGACUUACCAACAGGCGCCGGAUCUAAGAUGCUAAGAACUUCUCUGCCUAGGGUGGGAAUGUGCUGCUGCUAAGACCCAAGAACCCUAAGCCCCACCCCCUGAACUUCUUGCUAUUUCCCAGAUACUUGAAACAGAUAUCUAUAUGGUUUAUCGCAUUAUUUUUUUCCAAAUAUUUGCUUCCUCUCUCUGAAGAAGGAUUAUACUUCUUUGCACCAAUAAAUGUCAAAUUUUGUCUUAUAACUUGCAUUGGUCAGUGAACUGUGAGCAGAAGCAACACAGGCCACUUUCAAUCAGAAGCUUUAAGACCCAUCAUGUGGUUCCACCCACUUGUUCUUUCCUCUACUGCAAGAUUAGCACAUCCCAGAAAUGGCUUAUUCCUUUACCUGGGUCCUGGAAUAAAGAAAACAUAGA
This is a long non-coding RNA of Hipposideros armiger (great roundleaf bat), 475 nucleotides long. RefSeq lists it as uncharacterized. The transcript is spliced from 3 exons. Lineage: Eukaryota; Metazoa; Chordata; Mammalia; Chiroptera; Hipposideridae. The record is from RefSeq and is a predicted model, not a curated record.